Molecule: unclassified non-coding RNA, 747 nt
Filed under: Hevea brasiliensis (rubber tree)
Lineage: Eukaryota; Viridiplantae; Streptophyta; Magnoliopsida; Malpighiales; Euphorbiaceae
Source: RNAcentral
GAGGAAUGGCAGGUGGGAAAUUACGUUCUCAUGAGGAGCCUCUUUCUUUCUCCUCCACAGUUGUACUUUGUCCAUCUUAAAAUAGCUAAUUAAGACUCAGAGAGAGAACACAUACGCUUGUACAACAGAAGUCGUCUAGGGUUCUUUAGAUCAAAAUCCCUUAAAAAUCCCCAAUUCACCACAUUCACACAAUCCUAUAAAUCAACGGCAUUGUUACCAUUCUUAUUGUCGAUCGAUUCAUUUCUAAGUUCAAUCUAAUGUGUAGAUGUACUCGAGCAAUUUGAAAGGGUUUAUACUGGCUGUGGUUUCCAGUGCCUUUAUAGGCUCCAGCUUCAUCAUCAAGAAGAAAGGUCUCAGGAAGGCCGGCGUCAACGGCCCUCGUGCUAGCGUUGGAGGAUAUGGUUAUCUGUUGGAGCCACUCUGGUGGGUGGGCAUGGUUACCAUGAUUGUUGGAGAGAUUUCCAAUUUUGUAGCCUACAUUUAUGCUCCUGCCGUUCUUGUGACGCCUCUUGGUGCUUUGAGUAUCAUUGUUAGUGCUGUAUUAGCCCAUUUCUUGUUGAAGGAGAAACUGCAAAAGAUGGGAAUGUUGGGUUGUCUUCUAUGCAUAGUGGGUUCCACGGUGAUUGUAUUACAUGCACCUGAAGAACAGUCCAUUAAUUCGGUUGAAGAAAUCUGGGAAUUAGCUAUCCAACCAGCAUUUCUUUUGUAUACAGCCUCUGUUGUAGCUGUAGCAUUUGUAUUGAUCUU